CCUACGGGUGGCAGCAGUAGGGAAUUUUCGUCAAUGGGCGCGAGCCUGAACGAGCAAUGCCGCGUGAACGAGGAAGGUCUUCGGGUCGGAAAGUUCUGUUUGAGGGGAAAAAAAACGGAGAGAGGAAAUGCUUUCUGAUUUAUAUUACCCUUCAGGGAAGUCACGGCUAACUACGUGCCAGCAGCCGCGGUACUACGUAGGUGUCGAGCGUUAUCCGGAUUGAUUGGGCGUAAAGGGUGCGUAGGCGGCCUGCUAAGUCUGGAGUGAAAGGUACCGGCUCAACCGGUACAGGCUCUGGAAACUGGCGGGCUAGAGAGCAGGAGAGGGCGGUGGAAAUCGAGGUGUAGCGGUAAAAUGCGUAGAUAUCGGGAAGAACACCAGUGGCGAAGGCGGCAGACUGGCCUGUUACUGACGCUGAGGCACGAAAGUGUGGGGAGCAAAUAGGAUUAGAUACCCUAGUAGUC
RNAcentral lists this ribosomal RNA (464 nucleotides) under uncultured bacterium. RNAcentral describes it as "partial 16S ribosomal RNA". It matches the Rfam family "Bacterial small subunit ribosomal RNA", at positions 338 to 795 of the family's 1533-position model. The record is from RNAcentral.